UGUGAAAAAUAAAUUGCUCCUGUUGUGAACUCAAAGGUGCAACGUUGGGCUGUUUCGAAAAGAGUUGUCUUAAGAGUUUCCAUGUUCCCCUUGCAAAAUUAGUCUCACAAUACCGGUGGCAUAUACUUCAUUUGCCAGUUCACAACAAGGAAUAUCCUACAAGCGAAGAAGUCAGUAUGCAGAAGAACAUGAAUAUUUGUGAAUCGCUCGACAAAUUGGUUCUCUGUUGCUCAUCUCUCAUAGUUGAAGAAAAUAAAUCCAAAGGUGAGGAGACUGGCGAGCACACUCUAGCAAUGGUUAAGGUAGAGAAAGGACUAGAAUCACCACUUCACAAUGAGAAAUAGUUGUCUAUCCAGCUAAAGCUAGAACUAGCAUAUGACACAAACCUGUACAAGGCUUCUCACCUGGUCAACAAUACGAAGGAAGAGAUACCGUUUUAUUCCAUGCCGGAUUACCAUUCUUGGAAGGAAAGUUUGGAUGGU
This is a long non-coding RNA of Hibiscus syriacus, 482 nucleotides long. RefSeq lists it as uncharacterized. Lineage: Eukaryota; Viridiplantae; Streptophyta; Magnoliopsida; Malvales; Malvaceae. The transcript is spliced from 4 exons. The record is from RefSeq and is a predicted model, not a curated record.